This 491-nucleotide ribosomal RNA is filed under the name uncultured bacterium. Its description in RNAcentral is "partial 16S ribosomal RNA". It matches the Rfam family "Bacterial small subunit ribosomal RNA", at positions 28 to 507 of the family's 1533-position model. The record is from RNAcentral.
GAUGAACGCUGGCUACAGGCUUAACACAUGCAAGUCGAGGGGAAACGACGGGGAAGCUUGCUUCCCCGGGCGUCGACCGGCGCACGGGUGAGUAACGCGUAUCCAACCUGCCUCUGACUGAGGGAUAACCCGUCGAAAGUCGGCCUAAUACCUCAUGGCAUCGUCUGCGGGCAUCCAACGACGAUUAAAGAUUUCAUCGGUCAGGGACGGGGAUGCGUCUGAUUAGCUUGUUGGCGGGGUAACGGCCCACCAAGGCUACGAUCAGUAGGGGUUCUGAGAGGAAGGUCCCCCACAUUGGAACUGAGACACGGUCCAAACUCCUACGGGAGGAAGCAGUGAGGAAUAUUGGUCAAUGGGCGGGAGCCUGAACCAGCCAAGUAGCGUGCAGGAUGACGGCACUAUGGGUUGUAAACUGCUUUUAUGCGGGGAUAAAGUGAGGGACGUGUCCUUCAUUGCAGGUACCGCAUGAAUAAGGACCGGCUAAUUCCGUG